RNAcentral lists this ribosomal RNA (372 nucleotides) under Rhizophagus intraradices. RNAcentral describes it as "LSU rRNA". Lineage: Eukaryota; Fungi; Glomeromycota; Glomeromycetes; Glomerales; Glomeraceae. The record is from RNAcentral.
UUGAAAGGGAAACGAUUGAAGUCAGUCGUACCUGCGGGUAAUCAGCCUUUUGGGCAUGAUUCUGUGGAGCGUGAGGAGUUAAACGCCUUCAUGCCUGCAUAUUCGUGUACUUUGGGUGUACUUGCCUGUGUAGUUAGUUAACAUCAAUUCUGGUUAUCAUAAAAUGGUUGGAGGAAUGUAGCUUCGAUUUCGAUUGAAGUGUUAUAGCCUUCGGCAGAUGUGAUGAUUGGGAUUGAGGAUUGCAACGGAUACCCUUCGGGGCUACCUGUCUGAUCUCUGAUCGUUGCUCUGGUGCCGAAAGCGUGCUUACGGUUAUCAAAGUCGAUGGUCAAUAGGUUAGAAUGGGUUAAAUUCGUUAAGGAUGUUGACGUA